UACGGGGGGGGCAAGCGUUGUUCGGAAUUACUGGGCGUAAAGGGCGCGUAGGCGGUUGGAUAAGUCAGCUGUGAAAACCACGGGCUUAACUCGUGGCCUGCAGUUGAGACUGUCUGGCUUGAGUGUGGGAGAGGAGAGUGGAAUUCCUGGUGUAGCGGUGAAAUGCGUAGAUAUCAGAAGGAACGCCGGUGGCGAAAGCGGCGAACUGGAUCUCUUCUGACGCUGAGGCGCGAAAGCUAGGGGAGCAAACGGG
This 253-nucleotide ribosomal RNA is filed under the name uncultured bacterium. RNAcentral's name for it is "partial 16S ribosomal RNA". It matches the Rfam family "Bacterial small subunit ribosomal RNA", at positions 524 to 776 of the family's 1533-position model. The record is from RNAcentral.